GCACCCGUAGCUCAGCUGGAUAGAGUACUGCCCUCCGAAGGCAGGGGUCAGAGGUUCGAAUCCUCUCGGGUGCGCCA
Molecule: transfer RNA, 77 nt
Filed under: Brevundimonas diminuta
Lineage: Bacteria; Pseudomonadati; Pseudomonadota; Alphaproteobacteria; Caulobacterales; Caulobacteraceae
Also listed under: 55 other names
Description: tRNA-Arg
Rfam family: tRNA
About the family: Transfer RNA (tRNA) molecules are approximately 80 nucleotides in length. Their secondary structure includes four short double-helical elements and three loops (D, anti-codon, and T loops).
Source: RNAcentral